This 525-nucleotide ribosomal RNA is filed under the name Lissocarcinus polybiodes. Its description in RNAcentral is "partial 16S ribosomal RNA". It matches the Rfam family "Bacterial large subunit ribosomal RNA", at positions 1828 to 2602 of the family's 2925-position model. Lineage: Eukaryota; Metazoa; Arthropoda; Malacostraca; Decapoda; Portunidae. The record is from RNAcentral.
GUUUGUUACGAAAAUGCUUAUAGUCUAACCUGCUCACUGAUGUAAAUAUUAAAUAGCCGCGGUAUCCUGACCGUGCAAAGGUAGCAUAAUCAUUAGCUUCUUAAUUGGAACCUGGUAUGAAUGGUUGGACGAGGAGGUAACUGUCUCUUUUAUUGAAAUUGAAUUUAACUUUUAAGUGAAAAGGCUUAAAUAACUCAAGGGGACGACAAGACCCUAUAAAGCUUUAUAAGUUGAUAAAUUUUAUUUAUAUUUACGUAAAAAUGAGUUUUUAAAUCUUAUUAGGUUGGGGCGACGAAAGUAUAAAAUAGUAACUGCUUUUAGCUAACACAAAUAUAUCUGAAUAUUAUAAAUACUAAUUGAUCCUUUGUAAAGAUUCUAAGACCAAGUUACUUUAGGGAUAACAGCGUUAUUUUUUCUGAGAGUUCUUAUCAAAGAAAAAGUUUGCGACCUCGAUGUUGAAUUAAAUUGUCUUUAUAGUGCAGCAGCUAUAGAAGAAGGUCUGUUCGACCUUUAAUAAUUUACAUG